GGGCCCGCACAAGCAGUGGAGUAUGUGGUUUAAUUCGAAGCAACGCGAAGAACCUUACCAAGUCUUGACAUCCCUUUGACCGCUUUAGAGAUAGAGCUUCCCUUCGGGGCAAAGGUGACAGGUGGUGCAUGGUUGUCGUCAGCUCGUGUCGUGAGAUGUUGGGUUAAGUCCCGCAACGAGCGCAACCCUUGUCAUUAGUUGCUACGCAAGAGCACUCUAAUGAGACUGCCGUUGAUAUAACGGAGGAAGGUGGGGACGACGUCAAAUCAUCAUGCCCCUUAUGACUUGGGCUACACACGUACUACAAUGGCCGUUAACAGAGGGCAGCAAUACCGCGAGGUGGAGCAAAUCCCCAAAAAACGGUCCCAGUUCAGAUUGUAGGCUGAAACUCGCCUACAUGAAGGUGGAAUUGCUAGUAAUCGCAGAUCAGCAUGCUG
Molecule: ribosomal RNA, 437 nt
Filed under: uncultured Bacillota bacterium
Lineage: Bacteria; Bacillati; Bacillota
Description: bacterial SSU rRNA
Rfam family: Bacterial small subunit ribosomal RNA
Source: RNAcentral